UUACUCAUCUAUACAUAUAAUAAAAUCGUAGAAAAGUGCUGUCUGUACAUUGAAAAUAAAAAUAAAAAAAAUAGCAGGGGUUAUUGUUAUGUCGAUGUCGAACCCAAAAAUGUAAUUAACUUUUUUUUUGUCUGUUUGUCUGUUUGUCUGUUUGUCUGUUUGUCUGUUCGUCUGUGCGCGCUAAUCUCAGAAACGGCUGAUCCGAGUUGGAUGCGGUUUUCACGAAUAUAUUGUGGGAUGCUUAAAUUUACAUUUAGUGUUUGUUUCAUGUCAAUCGGUUCAUAAAUAAAAAAGUUAUGUCAAAUUAAAGAAUCACGUCGAACAUUCUAUGCUUAUACCAUUAAUCUCCGCAACUAUUUGACGGAUUUGGUUGAAAUUUGGUACAGAUAUAGUUUAAAACCUUAGAAAGGACAUAGAUAUUUUUUUAUUUCAAAAAUCAAAAAAUUAAAAUAAGAAAUAAAUUAUUUAUAAAUAAUUCUAUGUCGAUCGUUACACGACUUCGGUUCAUGUUAUUGUUUUAAUUUAUCGAAAAAAAGUAAAUAAAUAGUAAAAAGGUAUGAAAAAAAUAAUAUCAAUAUAAUAAAACAUUUAGUACAAAGAAAAUGCUCUAACGGAGUAUAGAUAAUUCUAUGUCGAUCGUUACACGACUUCGGUUCAUGUUAUUGUUUUAAUUCAUCGAAAAAAAGUAAAUAAAUAGUAAAAAGGUAUGAAAAAAAUAAUAUCAAUAUAAUAAAACAUUUAGUACAAAGAAAAUGCUCUAACGGAGUAUAGAUAAUUCUAUGUCGAUCGUUACACGACUUCGGUUCAUGUUAUUGUUUUAAUUCAUCGAAAAAAAGUAAAUAAAUAGUAAAAAGGUAUGAAAAAAAUAAUAUCAAUAUAAUUAAACUUUUAGUACAAAGAAAAUGCCCGAACGGAGUAUAAAUAAAUAAUCCAAGUUGUCUUUAUCCUCGAUAGAUGGCGUUGGGAUCGAAAUAGAUCGCGCUAUGGUUUCGUUACAUUCAUUUGGUUGGGUAUCGGCCGAGCGCUUCGGUACUAUCGUAGAAAAAGUGUAUUAUCAGUCGUAUGAUUAUUUGUCUGUAGUGGUCCUGCUGUUUCGUAUAUUCUAAAUUGGUUUCGUUGUAUUUGUCAAUUAAUAAGU
Molecule: long non-coding RNA, 1138 nt
Organism: Spodoptera frugiperda (fall armyworm)
Lineage: Eukaryota; Metazoa; Arthropoda; Insecta; Lepidoptera; Noctuidae
Exons: 2
Source: RefSeq, a predicted model, not a curated record